Molecule: ribosomal RNA, 684 nt
Filed under: Triticum aestivum (bread wheat)
Lineage: Eukaryota; Viridiplantae; Streptophyta; Magnoliopsida; Poales; Poaceae
Description: partial small subunit ribosomal RNA
Source: RNAcentral
AUGGUUUGUAGCAAAACGAGGCAUCGUUCGCCGUCCCGGCCGGGUCGUAUCUCUGUCAUGAAUGGAUGUAGCAAAAAAACAGCCGGUUCCAGCAAUAAUUUACUCUGGUUCCAGCAAAAAUUCCACAAACAUCAAACUCCAACAAAUUUGAUUGUAGCAAAAGAGAUAGCCGAUUCCAGCAAUAGUUUACUCUGGUUCCAGCAAAAAUCCCACGAACAUCAAACUCCAUCAAAUUUGAUUGUAGCAAAAGAAACAGCCAGUUCCAGCAACAAAUUACUCUGGUUCCAGCAAAAAUCCCACAAAACAUCAAAAUCCAACAAAAUUGGUUGUAGCAAGAGAAACAGCCGGUUCCAGCAACAAUUUACUCUGUUCCAACAAAAAUCCCACAAACAUCAAAUCCAACAAAAGUUGAUUGUAGCAAAAAUAAUAGGAGGUUCCAGCAACAAAAAACUGUCGCCGGUCGCAGCUACCCGCGAUGACAGUUGCAGCUUAACGACGAGAUCACAGAAAAAACGUUGCAUCCGCAGGUCGCCGAUGCUGGAACCACGCAGUAGAAAGCUACAACCGUAUGUCGCGGUGCUGGAACCGGCGGGAGAAAAAGCUACAACUGCAAGUCACCGAUGUUGGAGCCGGGGAGAAGAAAAGCUGCAACGGCAUGUCGCCGGUGCUGGAACCAGGCAGUAG